Long non-coding RNA from Pezoporus flaviventris, 1150 nucleotides. RefSeq lists it as uncharacterized. The record is from RefSeq and is a predicted model, not a curated record. The transcript is spliced from 2 exons. Lineage: Eukaryota; Metazoa; Chordata; Aves; Psittaciformes; Psittacidae.
UGGGUGAAGCCCUGCUGCGGCCUGGCGCGCCCUCACGCAGGCAGGUGCCUUGGUGGAGCUGGUUGUCUUUAAAAGCCCAUAUGGAAGCCAAAAUGCUGCCUCAUAGGCAGGCAUAGGUGAAAAGAAGUGCUCCCUUUCCAAUGCUGAAUUGGUAUGAAGGCACUUCCGGAACACACAAUGAUAGUGGAAGAGGCCAACGACUUCUGUACAAACUGCAAGGAGAUCUAUGAAGGCUAGUGCACUGAAACCCCCAUUUCUUCUGGUUUCACAUAUGAAAUCUUCCUCCUCACAGCUGCAUCCAAGAUCACAGGAAGGGUAAUGCAGCAGGGACAAAACUGACCCCAAAUUAAUAUAUAGGAUGUGCUUUUCCUUGGUUUUAUGAUCUACCAAUUUAAGAUUAUUUGAAGUGUUUCAAAUACAGAAAACUUGCCUCAAACAUUUAUAGCUAACACUGAUACAUUUUACGAAGCAUGGGUGUAGAUACGAAUUCAUUUUCCAUAUGUUUUAUCUGCAUAAUUAUUAAAUUUUUUUUUUAUACUGAAAUUAUGUUUUUACUUUUGACAAAUACAUUUUAUCAUGGAUCAAACAAUAUAUCCAUUUCUUCAGAAAAGAACAACCUCUGCAUCUUGUCUGAGAUGCAGGCUACCAGUGCGAUGUUCUCUGAGGUUCCUUGGUACCAUAUUGGAAGCAACUGCAAAACAUAUUUUGGGUUUUGCCACAGGUUGGGAAUGUGUCUCUCAUGUCAACGUGGGGUGUACUUUCUGAGUGGCUGUGCUGAGUGAUGUAAGAGCUAUACUCGGUAUUUUUCUCCUACAGUUAAUUCUCUUGCUAUAUUUUGCACAGCUGAACCCCAGCUCAGACCUUCAGCCUUGACAGCCUAAAUGAGAUGUUUUGCACCCUUACAUUUCUGGUCUUAGCCCUUCUGUGGAAAGCUGUAUUCAUGAUAAGCCUAUAAUUUCUAAGAUACCACGAUUGUGUAGUCUAACCUAACACAAACCAGGAGGAAACAGAAUCUCUGUGCUGUGUACCAAGAAGCCUUUAGGCAGGAGAGAUGUGAAUGGCCUUUGGUGACCUGCCAUAGCAUCUGGUGGGAGAGUGAUUUGUAGCAAGAGAAACUUCAUUUUGAUUAGUCUGUUUUUACUACUAACAA